UUUGAAGUAUCGUAGUAUGGUUUACACUUUUGUAGACCAUGUGGAAGAUGUUAAUGUUAACGAUGUAAAGCCAAUCACGUCAAGAAUGCAAUGGCUAGACAUCAUUAGUGAAAAGGCCAUUUAAACCAAAGCAACGUUGCGUUCCAUCAUUAGUGAACAAGUUCGAUUUUGUUAGCUAACUUAGAGUGAGGACAUGUAUUGCUUUUGUUGUUGGCUAAU
RNAcentral lists this long non-coding RNA (219 nucleotides) under Capsella grandiflora. Its description in RNAcentral is "long non-coding RNA (CGRA_LNC000970)". The record is from RNAcentral. Lineage: Eukaryota; Viridiplantae; Streptophyta; Magnoliopsida; Brassicales; Brassicaceae.